AAACACACAAUUCAAAAGAUUAUUAGACUAUUUAAAUAUAAUAUUUAUAAUCAGGUCAUAACUCCCUUCCUUUUAUCCAUUUUAUAUUGUUGUGAAAAAAACAGCAUUUCGUCGAAAAACAAGAUUUUGCAUAUGGCCCCUAAUCCUAAAAGUUCGGACCGGCCCUGCUAGCUAGAACCGGCCCUGCUAGCCGGAACCGGCCCUGCUAGCUGCGCUCCUAAAGUUGGAGGAGCUGCUGGAGAUGCUCCUGUCAUGAGGAGAGACGCAGCAUGUUGGUAUGGACUAAAUUCAUUCAUUGCAGCCUUAUUACCCAAAGGAGACGAAGACAGGAGUAAGUAGAAAGGAGAAGCUGGAAACAGAUUCUGCAGGACUUGUUUGACUUGUGGGAGCAGGGCUUGAAGAUGGCAGAGAUGGAGUGAGCGUAGCAGAUGGGGCAGAGGUCUUCUUCACUGGUUGGCUACGACAGAGAGAGAAAAACACUUGUUAGGACAUCUGUGUCACCUCUGCAGUCAUUCUCUUUGUUUAUGUUAAACUGUUAUAAGCUUUGAACAAAAGAAUAAUGAAUAAAGUAGAUAAAUCCACA
Long non-coding RNA from Sebastes umbrosus (honeycomb rockfish), 583 nucleotides. RefSeq lists it as uncharacterized. The transcript is spliced from 3 exons. The record is from RefSeq and is a predicted model, not a curated record. Lineage: Eukaryota; Metazoa; Chordata; Actinopteri; Perciformes; Sebastidae.